RNAcentral lists this ribosomal RNA (408 nucleotides) under uncultured organism. RNAcentral's name for it is "bacterial SSU rRNA". It matches the Rfam family "Bacterial small subunit ribosomal RNA", at positions 506 to 916 of the family's 1533-position model. The record is from RNAcentral.
UGCCAGCCGCCGCGGUAAGACGAAGGAUGCAAGCGUUAUCCGGAUUCAUUGGGUUUAAAGGGAGCGUAGGUGGACUGAUAAGUCAGUGGUGAAAUCUCUUCGCUUAACGAAGAAAUUGCCAUUGAUACUGUUGGUCUUGAGUACAGUUGCUGUGGGCGGAAUAUGACAUGUAGUGGUGAAAUACAUAGAGAUGUCAUAGAACACCGAUUGCGAAGGCAGCUCACAAAGCUGUAACUGACACUGAGGCUCGAAAGUGCGGGGAUCAAACAGGAUUAGAUACCCUGGUAGUCCGCACCGUAAACGAUGAUUACUCGCUGCUAGAGAGCAACUUUUAGUGGCUUAGCGAAAGCGAUAAGUAAUCCACCUGGGGAGUACGCCGGCAACGGUGAAACUUAAAUGAAAUGGCGG